Molecule: ribosomal RNA, 253 nt
Filed under: uncultured bacterium
Lineage: Bacteria
Description: partial 16S ribosomal RNA
Rfam family: Bacterial small subunit ribosomal RNA
Source: RNAcentral
UACGAAGGGGGCUAGCGUUGUUCGGAUUUACUGGGCGUAAAGCGCACGUAGGCGGAUUGGUCAGUUAGGGGUGAAAUCCUGGAGCUCAACUCCAGAACUGCCUUUAAUACUGCCAAUCUCGAGUCCGGAAGAGGUAAGUGGAACUCCUAGUGUAGAGGUGGAAUUCGUAGAUAUUAGGAAGAACACCAGUGGCGAAGGCGGCUUACUGGUCCGGUACUGACGCUGAGGCACGAAAGCGUGGGGAGCAAACAGG